CUACGGGGUGCUGCAGUGGGGAAUAUUGCACAAUGGGCGCAAGCCUGAUGCAGCCAUGCCGCGUGUAUGAAGAAGGCCUUCGGGUUGUAAAGUACUUUCAGCGGGGAGGAAGGGAGUAAAGUUAAUACCUUUGCUCAUUGACGUUACCCGCAGAAGAAGCACCGGCUAACUCCGUGCCAGCAGCCGCGGUAAUACGGAGGGUGCAAGCGUUAAUCGGAAUUACUGGGCGUAAAGCGCACGCAGGCGGUUUGUUAAGUCAGAGGUGAAAUCCCCGGGCUCAACCUGGGAACUGCAUCUGAUACUGGCAAGCUUGAGUCUCGUAGAGGGGGGUAGAAUUCCAGGUGUAGCGGUGAGAUGCGUAGAGAUCUGGAGGAAUACCGGUGGCGAAGGCGGCCCCCUGGACGAAGACUGACGCUCAGGUGCGAAAGCGUGGGGAGCAAACAGGAUUAGAUACCCCCGUAGUC
Molecule: ribosomal RNA, 464 nt
Filed under: uncultured bacterium
Lineage: Bacteria
Description: partial 16S ribosomal RNA
Rfam family: Bacterial small subunit ribosomal RNA
Source: RNAcentral